This 16474-nucleotide long non-coding RNA is filed under the name Phoenix dactylifera (date palm). Its description in RNAcentral is "long non-coding RNA (PDAC_LNC003874)". Lineage: Eukaryota; Viridiplantae; Streptophyta; Magnoliopsida; Arecales; Arecaceae. The record is from RNAcentral.
CGGUUCGCCCACCUCCCCCUCUUUCCAAAAGGCUUGAAUUUAUGGUCUGCUGAACCAGGAUGAACCGCCCAAUUCACCCCAUACCAAAUCAAUACUGUACCAAAUCGAUAACCGACUAGUAUGGGUUCCAGUACUGGUUCGACCAACCUAGGUCAAGACGUAUCGGAGCUUAUUUUUGAACUGAGCUAGACAAAAGCCUAUUUUGAUCAGCUUGAUAACUUCAAAUCAAGAUGAAAUCAAUUCAAGCUUGAAUCAAGUUAAACCAGUCUCAUUCAGGUUUGAGGGAAGUUUGGUUAAAACUAGAGUCCAAAUUUAACCAAUUCAAGCAAUUUAAACCAGUUCCAAUCAAUUAAUCUCACCAGUUCCUUAUUUUAUUCCUUUAACAAACCAACAUUGAAGAGGCCAGCCACUGGAUUAGAUACAAAGUAAGUUGAUUAUUUUAUACAAUAUGCUAUACAUUCUAAUAUAUCUCAUACAUUUCAAGCUAUAUUGAGCUGAGCCUGACCAAGAUUUCUUGACCGGCUUGAAAUUUUCAAGCCUAUGAACCUAGUUCAAGCUCAAUGACUGAUUCAAGCUCGAUCAAGCUCAAGACACUCAGAUCAACUGAUAACCCCAGUCUCCUGAGCUGAGCUCCCUCUUCAAAUUCCAGCUCAGAUUUCAUCUUGUUUGUGCCUCAUUUUUGGCUACGAUUUCCACAGUGAACUUCAUUGCGCCUAGUUUUACAUCCGGGUAGCAAGCAUCUUGUUGCAUCUUCACCAUGUAGCCAGUUAAAUGGAAGUACUUUGAACUUUGGACUCUAAAAGUAUUCAAGCCAACUUUAAACCUUAAACUUUAUAGCUUCCUAUUUUUCACAUUUGUUCCAAUAGAAGGAAUCAAUGUAGCAAAACAAGUGGUAAUUUCAUAUAUUAUGCUAAAAGAUAAAUGUUGAGAGUAAGGGCAAAAUUAAUACUCGAGUUCUAUCGAUUGCAAAAGUACAUGAGAGAACUUCUUGCCAAAUUCAUUUGCUUUUUUAACACAUAUAUGAAAAGGACUAGACAGAGCUAGGGAUGGCCUAGGCGAUUAGGCAGCCACCUACAAACACCUACGAAUGAGAAAAAAAAACUCUAAUAAUCCACACAUGCAUGUCUCAGAUACAUAUGUGGGAUGAAUUACAUUCUUCUCAAGAGGAGGGGAUAUCUAUGCUUCUCAAGUCCAAAAUCAACAAUAAGCACUCAAAUUCACACGGUUGAUUAUGAUAUAUACUACUAAAAAUGCUUUAGAACCAAAAAUCAUGUGUUUUGAUGGUCUCUAACCUCUGCAUCAAGUAGAUACAAAAUGGACCGUACCUAUCGUGCUAGAGUGCUAAAAUACAUGAUAAAGCAUGUAAAUUGAGAAUCCACUUAAUUGAUCAUGAUAAGCACAUCUUAAAAUAUGUAUAGAUUGAAAAUUAAUAGAUUUUAUUGCUUAGAUCAUGGCAAAAUAUGGCCUCAUAUAAUUUUAACCAUAAAUUACCAUACUUACUUCAAGCAUAGGUUAGAGACCCAGAACACAUGAUUUUUGAUCUUUAGAUAUUUUUAGUGAUAUAUAUAUAUAUAUAUAAUGAUCAAGGACGUGGAUUUUCAUUUUGCAUGCCCCACUGUUGAUUUUCGAAUUAAGAAGAGUAGACACCCUCCUCUCAAAGGAGAAAAUUUUAUCUCUCUCUCUCUCUCUCUAUCCAUCAUCAAACAUAUUUCAUAAAAAGAUAAGUCCACAAAUCACCACAUUUCAUGGGAAGUAAACAUUAAUAAACCAUUAAACAUAUUGACAAAACAUGUCUAGAAUGCUAAUAGUAAUAUAGACAUGUAGACUUAAAACUAACAAACACCAACAAAAAAUUGACUAGAAGAAGCAGCCGGACUGCUGGAGAUCGAAAACAGGGGAACAGAAGAACAACAAGGCUCAAUUGUUGCUUACCUUUUCCUUUUUUGUUUCCUUUUUAAGGGGAGGGGGGUGGGGGGAAGAACAAACUCUAAACUCCCAUGUGUAAAAUCUUCCUUCUUGAGGAAGUAUACCGUAACUAACAAGUAUCCCAUCUUAGAAGGAGGAGAAACCCCAAACCCUCCAGUGUAAAAUCUUCCUUUCUGGGCAAGUAUAUCAUACCUAACAAGUAUCCCAUCUUAGCAGGAUCUAAGCUGUCGUCACUUAGGCACUUUGGGGAUAUCAUGCACCUAGUCAGGCACCUAAGUGCCUAGUCAGCCUCUUUUUAAAACAUUGCACAUAUGUGUGGCACUAUCUCAACUCAUACACAGUUCUUGUCAACAUUAAGUGAUUUAGUAGGAGGUAACAAAAAUAUGAAAUUCUAAUACCCUAAAAGUUGUGACCAACUAAUGCAUUAAGCGGUAUUGACACCUUUCCUUAUGCACAGCUCAUACUAUUAUAAUGGCCAGGGAUGCAUGGCUGAACCAGUUCUUUUAAACUGGACAUAAUUAUAUGGUGCAACCUCAGUAAAGACGUGCUGACUAUGGUCUUAAAACCUCUGCACAUACAAAUAAUUAAAGUUCCAUCAAUCAUUUGAAUUCAUCAUGGAAUUUUACUUUGAGAAAGAAGUGAUGAAACAAAAAAUACAACACCAAACCACUGAACUAAUAUAGUUUCAAUGUCAGUAAUAACACAAAUGAUUCAGGAGCCACCUAUUCAUCAAGUCCCUACCCUUAAAGGAUUACACUAAAAAAGAGUGGAAAUAGCAGAAGAACAGGUUGAAUUUCAGUUGGCAAAGAUUCUCCAAUCGUGACAAACUAAGCCAUACAACAGGUCACCGAAUUGCGCACAAGCAGCAAGCAGUGACAAAGCAGGCAAAUAGAUGCAUGGGGCUCAAAGUUUUCACAUGAUGGAGUAGACAUUUGUAUGUGGGUGGCAGAUCAAUCAUUAACAGUACCACCCCACUGAACCUUUUCAUUUGUUCAUGUAUAGGAAUACAUGGACAAAUGAUCACUACAGAUUUAGAUCCAACACAAAAGCCUUGACAUGAGCCAUACAAAAGCCUGUAAUAUGGCAUUACAAGUGCAAUGAUCACUAUAGAUUUAGAUCUGACACAAAAUAUGAUUAUGCAAGUAACAAAGAUAAAAAUUGUCAGAAUGAACCUAAUAAUUGUCUUACAAUCGUUGUUGUUUAAUAAUGUGUUUUACAGGAAUAUAGAGAAGCAUGAUCACCAGACAGUAUUGAGAAGAAAAUAUGCGAAGGCUUACCCUGCCAGAGCAAUACCCCAGGUUGAUAAGGUGUAAAUGAUUCUUCCAGCCUCCCAAACGUUUCUCCACUUACUCCUAUCUUUAAUGCCACCCAAAGCCCUUGUCACAGCUGCAAGCUCAUAUGCCAAUUUAGGUGUAUAUAAAUCUGCCUAUUUGUGAAAUAGGCUAAUCCUAACACAAAAGAUCAAGUCCUAAAAACCGAAUGGCAUGCGCCAGAUAUCCAAAAGAAACCAUUGCCGAACAGGAUUGUGGGAUGUUAUAUCCUAAAUGCUUCUAGUACAGAAAACAUGAUAAGAAGUUAAAAUAUUAAGAAGCAUUACAGAACAUAGAGGAAAAAAUGAUGUAACACAUUGCCUAAGAAAUUAUCCUACAGUCUCUCCCUAAAAGAAUGAAAGGUCAUUUAGUAGUGAACAAGUGAGAGAAGAACAAAUCACACAUUAUAUAUAUAUUAAGGCAUUUUUAAUACAUUGCCCUCCACUACCACUUUAGCUGAUUGCGUAAAGCCCUCUUCCCUCCAUUGGUAUCAAACGUGGGCAUUAGGAAUUAAAAAGUUACAAGCUGGCAUCAACUUAAAAUUUCCAUCUGACCAUAUUGUUUCAGGUAAAACUGUAAAUGAACCUUGUGUAGGGGCUGUUCCUGAUGGAGGUAUAGGGAAGCAGAUCUCUCAUUAAAAAAAAUAGAACAAGGAAAUCCUUAAAAGGAGGGUGUAGGAAAGAGUUCUUGAAGCAGAUACGGCACCUUAAGUGCAAUCUUCCAGCUACCAAGGAUAAAAGUACAAAAGUAAAGAAAGAUAUAAGGGAAUAGCUACCCUGUGUAGCAAGCCAUCAAGAAUUCUUAUAGACAGAAAAAGCAUAUACUAUACAAAUGGUUAUUAAGAUAACAGGUAAAGGUUAGGAGAAAAAGAUCACCUCGUUUAAUAAUCCCAAAAAACUUAUUGGUUCAAUAUGAACCCAAAAAAUCUUCCGAAAGGAGUAAACUUAUAGGUUUUACAACACAGAAACUUGUUAUAAAAAUAAUCUCUUAUGCAUAAAGAGAUCCAAAUCUACAAUCAGCAUUCUAUGAUCCCAAAAAAAUCCCAAAGGCAGUAAAAAUAUGAAGUCUACAAAACAAAUACACUGCUGCUGCUGCUGCUACAAGGAUUACCAUUACUGUUGUUGUUACUAUGACUAUUUUAGUAGUAAUAACUAUUAUUAUUACUAUUACUAUUAUUACUAUCAUUAUUGCUAUUAUUAUUGCUAUUAUUGUUACUAUCAUUAAUAUUAUUAUGUCUAAUUAUUAUUACUAUUAUUUACCAUGUAUCAUUGAACAUGAAAAUUAGUGAUCUUUUAAGAACCUAACAAGUAACGGAGCAUAAAGUGUAAUUGCAUUAAUAUAAACAUAUUUACUAUUAUGCUCUCUGUUCAUAUAGGACAAAAUAUCUCAUAUCAGCUGAUAAAAAUUGUAUUAGCUAUCCAAAUUGUUUAAAUAAGAAAAAUAUACUCAUGAUUAAAAAUAAACUCAAUAAAUAACUAUUAUCAAGACAAUGUGGCAGAUUAGAGGGAGAUUCCUGAACCAGUAUCAUUUUAUAGUUUAGAAUAAGGUUGGUACAAACUUACUUCUCUGUAGUUCCUCCGGUGUCAAAACCUGAUAUUUCAUGGUAGUAAGCUAUUAGAUUAUGCAAAGCAAACAGAAGAUAAUGCUAAAAGUCUCAUAACUCAUACCUUAGAUUUUGGGUUUUCAAGGAUGCAGCUGGCUAUGAAGUGGGCAAUGCCUUCAACCACAUUCUCUUCACUAAUGAUGACAUAACUUUCAUUAUCAAUUCCACUGACUUCCUCCAAGCAAUCUGGGACAAUUUCAUCUACCAUAAUUUCCACACCAUUUAAAUUUGCCCCUAAUUCAAAAAAUUCAAAUUAACGAUGAACUGGAAACAGGGGACACAAAUUGAACCACUUAGGACAUGAGUUCGCUGGGACUAACCUAUGGGUUCACUGGAUGGGAGUUUGUCAUUUGGUAAAUCUGUUGACUCCUGAUGAAGUGAUUCAAGUUUGGUCAGGAAGCUUGAGCUGUCCACCGCAGCAACAAGGCGCGUAUACAACUGCAAAUUGACAAAAUAAGAUUACUUAGCUUCAAAUUGGUAUAACCACGAUCGACUAGUUUUAUGUCCCAGCUCUAAGGGGUUAGCUUUGCAUGUCAGAUACAAAACUUAUUUCUUUUUUCCCAAGUGGGAGGUCAAGAAGACACUAAACAACCACCUUUAUCUCAUAGGUACAGAUUAUGAGCUUUUAGAUACAAUUGUCCAUAACAAAACUCAAACAUUAAGCACAUGAAGUUUAUAGCAUACUGUCACUGAAUCCAAAAGGAAGGUGCAGGAGCAAAUUCAGGGGCAAGAGUGGGAAAAAAAGAGACUUUCAAGAAAAGCUUAAGUACAUAAUAGCAUUUGAAUAAACUGUAAUAGCAGAUAUUAUGAACUAACAAAAUUCACUUUUCGGGGGUGGAUUAUAUAUAUGCAAUAUUCUGAAAUUGAAACAGUAACUAUUUGAUUGAACAGUCAGCUGGAAUCACUAGAAAGCAGGUGUUAGUGUGAGCAAAGUAAUGGUGCAGCUGACAUAGAGAUCUCAACCCUUUUCAGAUUGAAGCAGCUCAGAUCCAAAAAUCAUGACAUCAAAAGGAAUAUGCCCGGAUUCACUAUGUAUAACCCAGAAUCAUAAACACAUUAACAAUUCAUCUCCACAUUCACUUAAAUCAAUUGUCACCUUGAGGGCAAGAGUUUCUAAAACAUGUACGUCAGUAUCUUCACAAUUACCUAUAGAAUUUGAUUUUUUUCAAUUGUGUGCUGCGAAAUUUCAUAUUUUCCAUAUCUGCAACAGAGAGAUAUGCUACCAAUUUAUAACAUCAUUUUUAGGUCCGGGAAAAUAUAUUGCAGAGUCAAAACUUUCCCUGGCCUCCUCAUAAUUUCCGGACCUCUCUUCAUAAUUCUUGAGCAUGUUAUGUUCGUAACUAUCAAAUUUCUUCUUUUAACAUUUUCUUUCUGUUCUUUUUCUCUUAUGUCAAAUUCUCACCCAAAUCAUAAUUGCGGGCAAAAGGAAAAGGGGAAAAAAAUCUUUUAGGGAAAAUAAGGUCGUAGCUAUCAAUAUACUGCAUAUAUCCUCUCAAAUUCUUUGAAAAAUAUGUAAUUGAAGGCAAAGGGAACGGAGGAAAUACAAGAACCUUUUUGAGGGGGGACAUUAAGCUCGUAGCUAUCAAGAUCCCUUAUUUUCUAGCCUUAUAAAGGUUUAACUUCAAUAAUUUGAAGGAAAGAAAAGGAUAGAGGAGGAGGAGGAGAGGGGCUCACGUCGGGAGGGCAAUCGUUGGAGACAGAGGGGGAUUUAUAGAGGCCCUGGAGGACGGCAAGAUUGUCGGCGAGCACGGUUCGGAGGCGGAGGUUCUCGGCCUUGAGGUGGGAGAUCUCGUCCUCCUCCGCCGCCUCAGCCUUGCGCUCGCGGCGGUACUCAAGGGCGCUCCACGCGACGUCCGCCAUCUCGAUCAUCGUCCCCACCACCUCCAGCGGGAUCUCAUGUGCGUGCCCCACCAUCUCUCAAUCCCUCUACGAAGACGGAGAAGAAGAAUUUGCGGAGGAAACCCUAGUAGAGGAGAACACGGAGAAGAAGCCCUCUUGAAGGGACCUCUGUUUCUUCAAAUCGUGAUGGGAGAAGGACACGGUAACGAACGGUCAACACAAGGUUGUAUCUUUCGCCCAAAAGAAGGAUUCACCUUCCUUCAUGAACCGACCGUUGGAUCAUUCCUCACACAGCUCUCAAAGCGCGGCGAUCUCCGUCAAUCAUCCGCUGCACGGCUUUCAAAUCGAACGGUAGGUUAUCCAACGGUGGAUUCGAGCGAAGGAAGCGCGAAAGAUACGACCCGUGCCCACGAGCUACAGCCGCAUACGGAGAAGACGGAGGGAGGGAGGUCGGGAGCCCUGGUCCAGCCGACUACGUUUCCCCGAAAAUGUCACCAAACUGGGUGUAAACCCGUGCUUUGGGUGUGGCACACGUGGGUUCGGUUAUCGGGCCCGUUUUCGUGAUCCAAACCCGGCCCCGUGCAGUUGAGUUUCUAGCAAGCCAAGCAUGGCACGGCCCAUAUUAAGUGGGCUCCUUCCGGCUGACAAAUCCGCAACUAGGGUGGUCCUCUACCUUAGGCAUUUGGUUGUUUCCUUGUUCAUUCCUGAUAUGGUCAAUUUAGGUGUUAAUGUAAUUUGCAAUAGAAAAUUUUCAAAUCUGGUUUGUUAUAUUAUUAAUGAAGAAAAACAAUGGCAUGCUUGAUAAUUACCAUAUUACUUGCAAGGGUAUAUCCAAAAAAAUAUUGUUGGACAAAUUAAAUUUUGUAACCGAUCUCUAAUUUAUCCCUUAAAACUGUUUAAGUUUUUUUUGCUAUCUUAAUCGUUGCUUAUUUAUCAAAUGAUUGAUUAUUUUUUCAUGCUUUGCAUGUCCUUGCAUUAAAAUUAAUUACUAUUUCAAAUUUAACAUGCGCAUCCACAUAAAUAUUAUUAAUUACUAGUAUAUAACCUGCACAAUGCACAGGAUACAAUUUUCUCCUUUUUUUUUGUUAUUCUUGAAAUACAGUAUAAAUUCUAAAAAAAUACUUUGAUAGUUAAAUUUUUGUAGCACAUUAAGCAUCUAACUUUAAUGUUGGAUGAGCAAAUUCUCAUUAUUAAUAAAAACAUCAUUAAUAUUGGCAUCUACAUAGUGAAUGAAGAAUUUUGCAUAAGCUGAGUCUUCGUGGAAAACUCUCGUCAUUAACUCACAUCAAAUAUCUAAAUUGAUAUAGCAAUGUCGGUUUAAAUAAAUACUACAUUUAUAUUUUUCUUAGAUAAUACUACCAAGCAUAAAUUACAUCAAUUCUAUGAGUAUCAUUGAUAUUCAAUAUUCAAAACACAAAGUACUCUAUUACCUAUCACUUAUAUUUACUUGUUAUUAAAGAAAUUGAUAAUAUAAUACUCACCUAUAACAAAUAUAUGUUGAUAAUGAUAAGUAAUCAUUAAAGGUUCAUCUUUCUCUUGUAUCAAUUAUAAGAGCCCUACUUAUUAUCCAAACAAAAAACCAUAUGAUAUUAUUAACACAAACAUCUAUAUGGCGAGUAGAGAAAUCAACUUAGCAAAUUUUUAUUUCACAUCACUAAUAUUAUUAAAUCUCAUGCAUUUUUUUUUCCUUUUUAGUUCAUUUUUCUCAUAUAUGUAGCUGUAAUGAUUAUUUACUAAUUUAUAAAUCUCUAAAUCUAUAAAACAUAUUUAGCAGAUCAUUAAAAAUUAUUGAUCUCUAUAUGGAUAUGCGCUGUUUGGAUUUUGGUACUCUUGUUUGAGUAGAAUGCAUGCUUUGAAAGUCAACUAUUUAAACUAACUCAUGCCCCAACACACACAGCAGCUUCAAAGCCUCUGCAGACGAAAUUGCCUCCUAGGUGGCUCAUCACUUCAAAAAAAAUUUUCUAAAAGAACUACUUACCUGCUCCUCUUUUUUAUCAACUUUUUUUUCCUGGUUCUAUUGGCUGCACCCAUACCCAUCAUGUGCAAGAUGUUGUACCUAAAAAAAAAAGAAAGAAAAAAAGCCUCUGCAACACCGCCUUCACCCGAGCAACAUCUCACGGUGCCGCCCCCGAACUGCACUAUGGAGGCUGACCCCCCUGCUGUCCACCUGGAUCUACCGGCGGCAUCGGCGGCAUUCUAUUUUCUGUGCCUCUCACCUAACGAAUUCUAUUUACAGGUCCAUUGUCUACUCUGCUAAUAGGUCAUGCUUUCGAGUUCUUUUCUCAAGUUCGCAUUACACCCAUUUCCCCUUACAUGCGGCUAUCCUAAUUGAGUAUAAAAUUUCAAAGAACCAGUUGCAAUUUUUAGAUGCCCUAUGAAAUGAAGGCUCAUAUACUAGCAGUUCAGCCUGUACAUCCCUGAAGUCAUUGGAAAGGGAAAAAUAAUGCUAAUCGAAAAUUAAGUUUUUGUGAUCUGCCAGAAGUCAUCAGGAUGGAUGUUCAAGAAACGAUACAGAUAGCCUCGAGGAAGGGGAUCAUAAUGUCUUGAACAUGGGAAUAAACUCGACCGACACCCGAAAUGGAAGGCAGAAAUUAGGCCAUAUGCUUAUGGUCAGACCUCUGAAACUUUUCUCUUUCUAUCUGAUGUUGCGCUGGCAUCAGGAGGGGAUUGAUUGAACUCUGACCUGCAUCAUGCCAACAAAAAUGGUUAGUCAUAUCAAUGCACAAUAUGGCUAAAGACCAAAAGGAAAUACCUACUACAGCGAUGACACAAAGGAAAAGCAAUAUGCAAUGCAUGGUAUUUAACUACAGCGGUGAUAAACGAUCAAAUUGACUAUAUCUUAUUAAUUAUACUGAGUAAGAAUAACUAAAAGUUUAAAAACAAUUCGGACAGUUUUGGUGAGCAGCCUCACAACAAAGAAAGGGGUAUCACCUGACAACCCUUGAUUUAGUGUGAUCAAUUUUGAGGUCAGGUUUUCACACACGCCCUAUCCAGGGUGGUUGAAAGAUAAACAGAGCAGAAGCAGGAUCUAAGGUGUGUUCAUGGUAAGAUAAUUAAGGCAUGCUGCUGCUUCAAUCCAGUACAUAUGGCUCAUCUAUGCAGACAAAACAAUUUUCAAAUAAUUUUCUACAUCUCUUGAUAUCACAAUUCACGAGCGAGAAAGCAGCUAUUGAGGUAUUACUUGAUAUUAACACUACCUGUUAAGAUAUGCCGAGCAAAAAAAAAGUAUUUUAGUUUAGUUUUAUUUCGCCACAGAUAAACUCUCGGGAAUCUACAAGGGCUGAAGGAUUUACUCAUUGCAUUAUUGUGUCUUUGAAUCUUCGGUGCUCAGUAUGGCAGGGAGUUCAACUCGAUUACUAUAUUGAAUCAGAUUCUAAGUUGACUGAGCACCUUUAAAGUAGCUAACAUUGCUCUAGGCUUGUUAUCCAGUUUCAAAACUCAGUUUCAACUUGCUUUUGGCCAGACAAAAUCAGUGUCAGCUCUACUAGUUGCAUUAGUUUCAAGAAAACGGGUUCAAGUCAGAGCUUUUGACUGUGAAGAAAGAAAAAAAAAGUUAGAAAAAAAAAUCAAUAUCAAUAAUUGGAAAUAAAAAUAUCAUUUUGGAUUAUAAUGUAUUAUUUGGGUAAUUGUAUUAUUUACAGUUUCAUUGGGUAGCAAAACCUUUUACAAAACAUUAAAAAUGAUUAAGAAAAACAUAAAAUAUCGAUUAUAGAACAAAAACUAGAAUAAAAGGGCAAGCUAGAAAAAUAGAUUCGACACGGAUUUAAAAUUAAAUAUGUUAUUUGGGAAGAUUCCUAUACACCAGAUACAUGCAAUCACAUUACAACAAAAAAAAGACCUUUAAGAAAUGUGAACUUCUGUUUAAAAAAGAAAAGAUAUCUGAACUUCAAUUAUUUUGUGAUACUUCAUGAACAUAAUUCUGAUCUACAAGAUCUUGCAUAGUUUGCAAAAUUUAAGAAACUAAAUAUUAAAAAAAAUAGUUAAAAUUGUCUACACUUAGGUCUCCUACAAUAUAAAACCUAAGUGCAUUCUAAGAAUAUGCAGAUCAUUACUGAAACAAAAAAGAAAAGGAGACAUAGGAUGCGUCAGAAGAAUACUAGAAGCUGAAAUGGCCUCAAUAACAGAAUUUCAGUAGCACUAUAUGUAAUAACCCAGAACCUCACCCGAGAAGAACAGCCAGCGGUUAUUUCAGAGUUCUUGGCGUUGUUUAAGUACCCAAUAUCUUCCCAACACAAUCUACGUGGGAUUAAACACAUACAUGCAUGGGACCUCACACGCUCACCCCAUUUAAGUCAUAGAGCCUGUGCUAGGGAAAGGGUCCAUAUAUCACCUAGCCAGAGGUUUCUUACCGAUAUCGAGUGAGGCCACUCACUGUAUACAGCCUGGCUAGGGUCCAUACUCAUUGGAAAUGCAAGUGAAGCCAAAAAUACCACAACCAAAAAUUCCUCUUUGAUAAAUCGCGUGAAGCCACUCAUAUGCUACGUGGCUAGGGCUCCAAUAGCAUUCUUCGAUUAUGGCAUUUUGUUUUAUAUUUAAAAAUCUUCUCAGAAAUAUCAAAUGAAACAUUUACUAAAAAGCUUCAAUAGAAAGAAACAUGUGGAAGAGGUUCCAAAGAGGAUAGAAUCUCGCAUCGAAUAUGAGUUCAACAAGAUCAAUUAGAAGGCACAUACAAUUGCAUGAUUUUACAUAAAAGCUAAAACAUGUAUUUGAGGUAGCAAAGGACCAUGGAAGAAGCCAAAAUCCUUAUGAAAAAGUUUGAAAACCUGGUCGAUAGCAGUCUAGAAUUCAAAGAAACCUGAGUUUCAAAAAGUGACUUAGAUUCCUGGCAAUGCAAGACAAACCUUAGAAACUUUGAUCCAAAAAGCAUGGAGAAGUCACUUACAGGGAAAACAUAAAUUUUGUAAAGGAUCGCACAAUUUUGAAAUUCAAAACCAUGCAUAAACUUAAAACAGAUAAAAAGAUUCAAAAAACAGAAAACAAAUCUUAAAACCUUAGUCUUUAAAAGCAUGGGAGUGUCACCUACAAGGGAAUCCAUGAUUUUGGAAAAGGCUGUGGUUUAGACUAUUAAACACAAAAUCUUGGGGUUGAUUUUUUUUAAAAAAUAUUGUUUUCUGGGUUAAAAAAAUAAUCAGGUUUGGAAUUGGCUUUGAUAGCACCUCCAAAAGUACAAGUUAAUUCGGGACGUAGAAGAGUUACUUAAAAAGGAAAUCAUAGCUUGUGAAAGACACUCUUAGUUUAGAAAUUCAAAAGAAGGCACAAGCUCAUACGAAACAGAAAUAUUAACCAAAUCUUAACUUCAAAGGCACAGAGAAAGGCUUGCUUAUGAUGUACCAAAAAAAAGAGGUUUACUUAUAAGGAAAUUAAAUACUCCAGAUUUAAAGCACAAAAAUUCAAGAACAUGAAGCAGCUAUUCAUCUUACAAGUCAUCAAGAUUCUUCUUAAGGCUUCUUAUCUUCCCUUUCUCUUCUCCUUUUCCUCUCUCUUGAAACCCAUCCAUUCUUUUCCCCUCCCUUGGUGACCACACAUUAGCCCUAUUUAUAGAGUUGGAACAGUGGUUUAGAAGGUGGGCCCGCUAGGUUGUUCUAGGUUAGGGUGGUUCGAGUAUGUUGGGCUCCACUAGGUCAGUUAGGUCAGGGAAGUGCCAGGUAAUGUGGGAUAGAUUAAUGAGCACGUAAAGCAUUACAUCUAAAUAAGGAAGCAGCCCAUUGGAAUUUAAUAAAAGCAAUUAAAAACUCCAAUUCCUCAAAAAUUACGGUGAUUUCCCAACUUUAAUUCAAAACACCCAUUUUUUUUUGGCUCCAACUCAAAAUUCCAACUUUCAAAUGCUAAGGUAUUUCUCGAAGCUUAAAAUUUUAUAAAUUCUUAUAUACUAAAACCCAAAAGUCUAGUUAGUCUUCAAAGCACAUCUACGAAAAAUGAUGCUUGAAUGUACUUAGAACCUCGGCAGAUUGGUUCAUUUUUUCAUACAUUUUUUACACAUGCGCACGUAUCUACAUACAUUUACAUUUUUCUAUGCAUAGGUCGGAUCCAUAAAACCAGCUCCAAAUAGUUGGGAAAAGUUUUGAUGAUCAUAAUUAUGAUAUGAUAUGUAUAGGUCGAGUCAUUAUAUUUUCUGUAACCCAAGAUCGGCUAGCUAGAAAUUAUUUGGGAUCCGUAGCCCCACUUAAGCACUCAAGAUCCUUCAAGCAUACAAACGAUGUGGGAUUACAAACACUCAUAGGAGUCCUCACUAGCUCUCCCUAUUUAAGCCCUGGCAUCCUUGUGAGGCCAAGGGUCCAACUAGAAUCACGAACUACAAAUGGCUAGUGGUUAGCCUAAAAAGGGGUGUCGUGCAGUGUCCCCUAGUGCACAUGGGUCAAGUAAGGUCCGCUCCAAUUCUUCUUGUUAAAAAUCCAAGAACUCACCCAAAAAGGCUAGUCUUGGCCUUACUUAAGUAUCCAAGAUCUUCUCGGCAUACGAUCAAUGUGAGACCAAUUACAUUGCCACAAUGACAAUUAUGCAAGCUACAUUACACAUUUGCCAAACAUCAUUAGCAAAUUAUCUCAUGUGUCCAUAGCAUGUAACUUCAAGUUGGAUGACCUAAGUAAGCAGAAAUAUGCAUCAUACUUCCAUGAUAGCCGAUUUCACAACAAAACUAAACAAUAGCCAAACUAGGAGGCUAUAAUAAUAAAUAUUCAACUUACACAAAAAAGGAAUCCCAUAGAAUAGAUUAAGGAAGACCAACACAUCUUCAUGGCCCUAUUAUUCCUUAUGUAACAAAUCAUAUUGCAACAUAAGAUUGAUAUCUUGAUGGCUUUCACAGACUAUCAAGAAUCCAAAUUACAGACUCAUGCUGGCUGAGUUAUCCAAUUGCCUAUACAAAAUAUGAUACACCUAGCAAAUUGCCCGACCCCCCCCCCCCCCCCCCCAAAAAAAAAAAACGAAAAAAAAAGAAGAAGAAGUCAUAGCUAUACAAGAUUAGCAAAUGCAGAUGGUGAUGAUUCAUACAUAUUGUAUUGCAUGUUGCAUAUCAAGAAUGUGUCAGAUCCAGCCUAUAUUGCAAUUAUAAUAUAAGUCAAAGAAACCGUUCCAACAUAAUGUCAUGAUUCUACAAUUCAGCUAUGCAUAACAAAACCGGGAAACACAAGCAUGGAAUAACGAACACAAUAGCCAGAAAUUACAACUCAAAGUAUAAAGCAACUUGAAAAGAAUAAACUAGGGUAGGUUAAGGAUGAUUUUUGAAAUUUUAAUGGUUUCAUGGAAGUUCCACUCACCCACAGGUAGAACACUUCUUGUGGUGUUUGCAGAAUAUUGACAAACAAACAGAACACACGUACCCCAUGUCAAUGGUCUUUUUGUGGCAGAAACAACUGCAAGAACCACAACCGUCAGAUGAAUGGAUUAGAAAUUCAAGAAUAUAGACAAUUACAUGAGAAGGUUCAGAAAGCAGUGCAUGCACGCAUGUAAGGUAAUUGACAUAAGAACAGCAAAUUUCAUCUCCAAAAAAUGAUUAGAGUUCGGUGAGUGGUUUGUGUUAAUUCAUUGGUAAAAGUACCAAGACAAAUUUAGCCUCUUAUCCUAAGAUUAUUGCUGGAGAUAAGUUGAAGGCACUUAUCUUCCUCUGUGGAUGUGGACAAAUCAACAAAUAUAUGCUAGUAUUUAUUUAACUUUCUCUUUUCUCUACUAUGCAUGUCCAAGCUAGUUCUAGUACAAAUUCUCAUCUUUUUCCCAUCAAACACCAAAGUCCCAAAAAAGUAUGAGUUAUAACGUAUAUGCAUGGAAAAUCAGUAAGCAGAAGGAGAUGAAGAUGAAUAAAAAAGUGGAAAAGAACAUACGAGGCACGGAAGUCCACUCCUGCAGGCUUAGGAAGUUGUAAAAAGUUGCGUGAUUGCAAAUCAGUUGCAAAUACUGCCUGUAUAUUUUCAUAAAAGGUAAUAAAAUACAAAACUCAUGAACAGUCAUCAACAGUAAAAUGAGAUUUUGCAUACUGAUCCAGGAUUAUUCAAAUCACAACUGAUACAAUAGAGUAGCAUACAUACGGAGAAUGGCAACUGAUUAUUUGCAACUAUGAAACAAGUACAAAAAUGGGUUACACAUCUGCUAUUUGUAAAAGAAAAGCAAUAGAAAUUUUUUUUUAUAUCACGCAUUAACUUUUUGAGAAAAUGGCCUUAGGUUGGAAAAAAUGGCAAAGUGGAUACCUUACCCUAAUUCAUAGGACAAGUCUUGCUGUGUAUGUUUAUCCUUGUGCUAACCAAAUGAAUUAAAAAAGCAUAAACUUAAAACCAAGGACUCAAGUCCCGGCAAGACGUCCCGCGGGAUACCGAGAUAGGGUACCAUCCCAAGUGUCGGAAUAGGACCAUCCCGCCAUUGUCUUAGUAUCCCAAUCGACACAUCUUUAGACACCUCCUAUCCCAAGUAUUGGGAACACGCAGGACCACGGCGCGUCGUCCCAUUCCAUAGGAAAACCGGGACAGUCUUGUCCCAUGGGAUUUAAAACCUUGCUUAAAUUUAUAAACGGUUUGCAAUUGGCGACAAGUAGAAAUGUAACUUUAUCUUAUAGGAAGAGAGAAUCCUAGGUCUAGGACUACGGCAUAUUCCCAACUAGUUGGUUUUUUCUUGUUUUUGUUUUACCUUUGUUCAUUUUUAGGUGUUAUAUAGAAAAAUUGAAUAUGGAAAAUCAGGGGAAUAUGCAAAAAAAAAUAAUAAAAUUGCAAAGUUAUGAAGCACAUGAGAAACACAGCAUAAGAAAAAAGAAAAAAGAAAAGAAAAUACAUAAUAUAUUUUGUCUCUCUAACAGGUUAGCUGGUCGGUUAAAAAGAAAGAAGAAGAUGACUUUUAUCAAAUCUUGAAAACACAUAGAAACAAAGUAAUAGUAAUUAUUACCUAAAGAUAUGGGAUAGUUCAGUGGCGCAAAAUUACUUCUGAUGACCCCUUCUGAAAGUUUUCAUGGUCAAAACUUUAAAAGAUAGAAAGGUAAAAAGAAUACUAGCUAAAUAUCUUUAAACUUCUUCUGGAUAUCCCUGAGCCUGGUCCACACCCUGAGGAGGCUGAGCCUGCUGCUUCCUAAAAUUGGUGGAAAACUAAGAAAACUAUGAGUAUGUAGGGAAUAUAUUGACUAAGCUUGGUGAUGAAUGUGCGACAGUUAUUUCUGCCAUACUUCAGCAUGAGGGCUUUGGGAUUUGGGAAGCUAUUGAUAAAAAAUAUACUGUGGCAGACACUGUAAAAUAUAUGUUUAGACAUCUGCACCAGCUGUGCUAUGCCAUGCCUGAUGCAUGUCAUACAUUCCAUGUGUUGACAAGUGGACGUGCCAGGGCAUGCACUGUGCUGACUGUUGACUGAGAGAAGCACCAGCUUCAGCUCCUCAAUCCUUGCUUUCACAUUAUGAUAAAACCAAGCACCAUUAUGUAUUUUCAAUUAAAACUAAUCAGGUACAUGUUUGUCCAACAUCUGCUAUGCUGCAUUUUCUAUCAAGACCUUUCCAAAGCUCUGAAGCUGAAGUGCAGUGGAAAUUAAUGUCAUUGUUGAUCACAAAGCAAAUUUGAAAUUUUCUCACACAGUUAUGGUUCUUUUUUCUCAAGAUUUUUCCCAAGCAAAAGAAGCACCAGGCUCAGUCUGUUAAAGCUUUGGACCAGGUAAAGAGACAACCAAGAAAGGGUUCAAGGUAACCAGCCAAUAUUGCACUUUACUUCGCCAUCUUUUAAAGUUUUGACCAUAAAAUUUCAGGUGCAGAGGGAUUAAUCAAAGAAUUUAUGAUUAGAAUGCUCUGCAGAUCUAUCUAUCACUAGCUAAAAAGUUGAUCUUAUCUAAGACGAGAGUC